Molecule: long non-coding RNA, 399 nt
Organism: Tachyglossus aculeatus (Australian echidna)
Lineage: Eukaryota; Metazoa; Chordata; Mammalia; Monotremata; Tachyglossidae
Exons: 2
Source: RefSeq, a predicted model, not a curated record
UCCCCAGUGUCCGUGGGCUAUAAAUUGGGGUGCAGGAGCCAGGCAAGGCCCCAAACGCGAGUAACAGCAGUCGAGGCCACAUCCUCUAGCCAUGGCUAGGCUUGCCUGCACUCAGCGUUCGAUGCAAAGAGGUCGCCGACGCCCAAGAGCCCCAUCCCGGAAACGAAGAUAUAAGCCAUCAACUCAAAGAGUCAAGAGGAGGAGAUCUCGGCGGAGGAGGAGGAGGCAGAUCCCCAGGAGUAGAAGGAACUGACUUGGCCCCCGAAGACCAACCUGUAGCCGGGGGUAUACGAUGCUGAACACACACCUGAUGCAGAACUCAACUAUGAGCCAACCAGAGCGUCAUCAGGAUUUGUAAUCCGAGCGUCACAUUCCAAUAAACGAGCAAUGAGCAUGCUG